CGGGGUGUAGCUCAGUUGGUUAGAGUACUGGUCUGGUGGACCAGGAGUCGGAAGUUCGAGUCUUCUCACCCCGA
This 74-nucleotide transfer RNA is filed under the name Marinilabiliales bacterium. RNAcentral's name for it is "tRNA-Thr". It matches the Rfam family "tRNA". From Rfam's summary of the family: Transfer RNA (tRNA) molecules are approximately 80 nucleotides in length. Their secondary structure includes four short double-helical elements and three loops (D, anti-codon, and T loops). Lineage: Bacteria; Pseudomonadati; Bacteroidota; Bacteroidia; Marinilabiliales. The record is from RNAcentral.